Rattus norvegicus (Norway rat) is the source of this 63-nucleotide non-coding RNA. The record is from Rfam. NCBI's taxonomy places the organism in Eukaryota, Metazoa, Chordata, Mammalia, Rodentia, Muridae.
GGGGAUUUAGCUCAGUGGUAGAGCGCUUGCCUAGCAAGCACAAGGCCCUGGAUUCAGUCCCCA